GCCAUCCCAGUUCGGAUUGCAGGCUGCAACCCGCCUGUAUGAAGUUGGAAUCGCUAGUAAUCGCGGAUCAGCAUGCCGCGGUGAAUACGUUCCCGGGCCUUGUACACACCGCCCGUCACACCAUGAGAGUCGGGAACACCCGAAGUCCGUAGCCUAACCGCAAGGGGGGCGCGGCCGAAGGUGGGUUCGAUAAUUGGGGUGAAGUCGUAACAAGGUAAC
RNAcentral lists this ribosomal RNA (219 nucleotides) under uncultured bacterium. RNAcentral describes it as "partial 16S ribosomal RNA". It matches the Rfam family "Bacterial small subunit ribosomal RNA", at positions 1282 to 1500 of the family's 1533-position model. The record is from RNAcentral.